RNAcentral lists this long non-coding RNA (778 nucleotides) under Solanum pimpinellifolium. RNAcentral describes it as "long non-coding RNA (SPIM_LNC000179)". The record is from RNAcentral. Lineage: Eukaryota; Viridiplantae; Streptophyta; Magnoliopsida; Solanales; Solanaceae.
CGUGCGAUAGAAAGCGGAAAAAUGAAUUGAUUGACUAUUGAGUGCAAGCCCGUAAAUAGACGACCAUGGGUAGUUCAGGUGCACUUAAAGUCAACUACAACUAGAAGGCAUGCCGAUCUUGCCACCAACAAACCUUUGACUUUGACUGUGAAAAGCUCCAAAUAGGCACAUAGUAGUUUAGAGUAGAAGGAGUGAAAGCCACUUGACUAUAAGGAAAGGAGCUCUAAGUUGGAAUUCAAUAGUGACAGAAAUGGUCAUCUGUGCUCCACAGCUACUGGUGUCAUCACCCUGCAAAGAGGUGGAACCAACCAAGACUGAACACUAGCCCCAUUUUGUAGACGGGUUGGGACCGGCCUUCUAUCCCGGUGAACAAUGUUCCACUGAUUAGGCGGGGACAGGAUUCGAACCUGCAAUCUUCAGGUCAUGAGCCUGAUGAGUUGACCAAUUCCUCUACCCCGCUUCUUCCCCUUCUCUUNGGGUUGGGACCGGCCUUUUAUCCCGGUAAAUAAUGUUCCACUGAUUAGGCGGGGACAGGAUUCGAACCUGCAAUCUUCAGGUCAUGAGCCUGAUGAGUUGACCAAUUCCUCUACCCUGCUUCUUCCCCUUCUCUUUCGAACUCCGAAAACCAAGGUUCGACUUGCAUGUGUUAAGCAUAUAGUCUGAGUAGCAUGAUGUUCACUUCUUAGCGCUUAGGCCACUACCUAAAAGUCAGCUUUUCGCUCUUUUCCUCUUACAUAACAACGAUGGAGGAGAUAGUAAGCACGACUUUCUACGCAAC